This 220-nucleotide long non-coding RNA is filed under the name Panax ginseng (ginseng). RNAcentral describes it as "long non-coding RNA (PGIN_LNC013078)". The record is from RNAcentral. Lineage: Eukaryota; Viridiplantae; Streptophyta; Magnoliopsida; Apiales; Araliaceae.
GACAAUAUUCCGGAGAAUACAAAGAAGGUACAUCGAACUGAGUAUUCUCACCGUGAUGACAGGGCCACACGUAAAAGUAGAUCCAGGAGUCCAUCGAGAGCAGCAGGCUCUGACGGAAGGGGUCGAUCUACUCUCAAGAAGAAAUUAUCUCCGGAGAAAGAAGUCUCUUCGAAGAGGGAAGAUAUGGACUUUUUGGUUAAAGAGUUAAAAUAACUUAAAA